This 365-nucleotide long non-coding RNA is filed under the name Olea europaea subsp. europaea. The record is from RNAcentral. Lineage: Eukaryota; Viridiplantae; Streptophyta; Magnoliopsida; Lamiales; Oleaceae.
UAUGGCUCACGAUGUACGUACCGAUGAUGCAGCUAAAUCAUCUGCAAGCCGUAAAAUUGUUGCCAACCAUCGAAUUACACCAGGAUAUUUUUGUAAGUACUCAACUGCUUCUUUCUCCAUAGGAUUGGUGAUAAUAAAAAAAGCAUGAGACAUUAUCACAUGAGAUGAUAUUGUUAUCCGUGCAUUUUCCAUAUAUUCUUCCAGUGUUGGUGUGUGUCCAUUGAAGUACCACUUAGCCUCUUGUAAGUAUUCUUUGCAUAUAUCUGUCCACUGUAAUAAUGCUCAACGUUGUAAGAAUUGUAAAGUCAACUCAUAUACUAGAAAAAUAAAAACCGAAUUUGAUAAAUAAAUAUUAGCAGUACUAG